Magnolia sinica is the source of this 952-nucleotide long non-coding RNA. RefSeq lists it as uncharacterized. The record is from RefSeq and is a predicted model, not a curated record. Lineage: Eukaryota; Viridiplantae; Streptophyta; Magnoliopsida; Magnoliales; Magnoliaceae. The transcript has 3 exons.
UCUGUAAGGAGUGAAGACGUUCGUCCGCAAGGUGCUUCGCUGGUCCAUCUCUCCUUCCUGCGCCCUCGUUCUUCUUCUCCAUCUGUCUCAACCCUCUUGCGACAGAUUUGGAUGUCAUUACGGCCAUAUCUAAGAUGUAGAGGCAAUAGUUAGUAUCGUCUUCUUCACUUAAGUAUCAGAUGAGAUGUCUUCAUCUUAGGUUGAUCCUGCCAUGAAUCUUCUUCUUCUCUCACCCAAAAUAGCUUACCCUAAGGGCAGAAGUGAAAGAAGGUGAGAAAACGAGGAUACUGCAUGACCACAUGUGCCGUUCUUAGUUUUAUAUAAGACCUGAGAUACUCUAUGACCAUACAAUGCACUUCAAUUAUGACAACAUGUUUUAUUUGUAGAUAGAAAUGGGUAAAUACUAUGUCGUGUUUGUGGGUAGGGUGCCAGGAAUAUAUGACAACUGAGAGGAUGCUCGGGAACAGGUUGAAAGAUUCAGCGGGUCCAGACACCAAUUGUUCAGAACGCACGGUGAGGCUGUUGCAGAGUGGACAACAUUUAAGGCUACUCUGCAGGAAGUUAGGUCGGGCAACACCCGUGGUGUACAUAAUAGGGCGUCAUCAAGCAUGACAGAAAGACUGUCGGGAAGAGUUGAAGGUGGUUCUGCUCCCUUUCAGCCACCGCCAGGCACUGAUGAACAUCAAAAUAGAGUGCAGAGAUUUGGCGUCUCAAUAUCAGACAUGAAUCGAAAUACUGAUGACAAAGGGAUUUUGAAUGGCAUAGUCAAAAUUCUAAUUGGAGUCGUGCUUAUAUACGUAGUAGUUGUGUGAUUUUUUUUAAGUUUUUGAUGAUAUGAGAUCAUUAGGUGGGGUGUGGCCGAUAUGAUAAUUUGAAAUGAGUGGAGAAAACUCAGGACCAGUGAGGCGUUAUCUUUUUGGGACUGUAAAUUUUUUUGUUAGACCCUCAAAAC